UGGGGAAUAUUGGACAAUGGGCGAAAGCCUGAUCCAGCCAUGCCGCGUGUGUGAAGAAGGUCUUCGGAUUGUAAAGCACUUUAAGUUGGGAGGAAGGGCAGUUACCUAAUACGUGAUUGUUUUGACGUUACCGACAGAAUAAGCACCGGCUAACUCUGUGCCAGCAGCCGCGGUAAUACAGAGGGUGCAAGCGUUAAUCGGAAUUACUGGGCGUAAAGCGCGCGUAGGUGGUUAGUUAAGUUGGAUGUGAAAUCCCCGGGCUUAACCUGGGAAUUGCAUUCGAUACUGCUUGGCUAGAGUGUGGAAGAGGGAAGCGGAAUUUCCGGUGUAGCGGUGAAAUGCGUAGAUAUCGGAAGGAACACCAGUGGCGAAGGCGGCUUCCUGGUCCAACACUGACGCUGAGGCGCGAAAGCGUGGGGAGCAAACAGGAUUAGAUACCCCAGUAGUCCCUGAGCGGGCUGGCAAGGCGCAU
RNAcentral lists this ribosomal RNA (472 nucleotides) under uncultured bacterium. RNAcentral's name for it is "bacterial SSU rRNA". It matches the Rfam family "Bacterial small subunit ribosomal RNA", at positions 355 to 825 of the family's 1533-position model. The record is from RNAcentral.